CAUCAGUGAUUUUGAACUUACUGCCCUGGAGGCAUCCUGUUCGCUUCCUCGUGCUGCACACGCUUUUCUCUCUCUCUCCCUGGGAGCUUCACCACCAAGAUGGUUCUCCGGUUGGAUGGGGAAGGAAAUGGGUCGCCACCACCCAGGACGUACAGUGCUGGAAUUCAUUAUAAUAUAGCCUUCACCAGGCCCAAGGGGUCGCGGUCAUUUGCUGAAUGACUCCUUACCGGUGUCUCUAAAUUCCGUCCACUCUGCGGUUUCUUGCUGCCAACGCUUGACUCAAUGUCCUUUGAAGAUGACCCUUGUCACCGUGAGCCAUGAUUUUUCUUCUGCAAGAGGAGCCACAUCCUACCAUUCUCGUUUGACUCCCUGCACUGUCACCUCAAGAUUUGCCACUAGCCUUGGAAUCCAUAUUGACUUUCAGGGAUCCUUAGAACCUUACAGUCGCUCCCCUUUGAUUGCUUUUAUAAAGAAAAUGCCGGAAGCCCAGGGCCUGUGCUAUCCCAUGCUUAGUCUAAGACAAAGCUCUAAAGUGUUGGUCCCUGUGUCUUUCUGGGUUCUCAAGAGAGCCUUUCGGGGAACAGGUUUCUUGGAGUGUCAAAUCCAAAAGACCAGAUCAAGUCAUACAUAGCCCAUAGAGUUCAAGGUCCUGUCUCCUUUAAAUAGAAAAGGGCCUAUAGCUAUGCAUUUUCCCCAUGUCCUUUGGGUGAUUAUGACACCCAUCAGUGUUUGAGAACAGUGAAGAAAGUGGAUUAAGGAACUGAAAUCCCCCAAACCCAGACAAUUUUCCUUGGUUACCUCAAAAAAUGUCUUUUAUGGAUAUUUUAUUUCUAAUUCUGUACCAAGUAAGAU
This 852-nucleotide long non-coding RNA is filed under the name Marmota monax (woodchuck). Lineage: Eukaryota; Metazoa; Chordata; Mammalia; Rodentia; Sciuridae. The record is from RNAcentral.